Mus caroli (Ryukyu mouse) is the source of this 102-nucleotide small nuclear RNA. Lineage: Eukaryota; Metazoa; Chordata; Mammalia; Rodentia; Muridae. The record is from RefSeq and is a predicted model, not a curated record.
UUACUUCGACAGUGAAUAUACUAAAAUUGGGCUGAUACAGAGAAGAUAACAUGGUUCCUGAACAAAGAUAGCAUGCAAAUCCAUGAAGUAUUCCAUGCAAAA